Molecule: ribosomal RNA, 445 nt
Filed under: uncultured bacterium
Lineage: Bacteria
Description: partial 16S ribosomal RNA
Rfam family: Bacterial small subunit ribosomal RNA
Source: RNAcentral
GUGAGGAAUAUUGGACAAUGGGCGCAAGCCUGAUCCAGCCAUGCAGCGUGCAGGAAGACGCAUCUAUGGUGUGUAAACUGCUUUUGUACGGGAAGAAACACUCCCUCGUGAGGGAGCUUGACGGUACCGUAAGAAUAAGGAUCGGCUAACUCCGUGCCAGCAGCCGCGGUAAUACGGAGGAUCCAAGCGUUAUCCGGAAUCAUUGGGUUUAAAGGGUCCGUAGGCGGUUAAAUAAGUCAGUGGUGAAAGCCCAUCGCUCAACGAUGGAACGGCCAUUGAUACUGUUAGACUUGAAUUACAAGGAAGUAACUAGAAUAUGUAGUGUAGCGGUGAAAUGCUUAGAUAUUACAUGGAAUACCAAAUGCGAAGGCAGGUUACUACUUGUGGAUUGACGCUGAUGGACGAAAGCGUGGGGAGCGAACAGGAUUAGAUACCCCAGUAGUCC